CAGAUNCGGCNCGCUACACAUGCAGUCGAACGGAGCGUACCGAGUCGAACCUUUCGGGGGGAGACAUGGUAUUGCUUAGUGGCGAACGGGUGAGUAACACGUGAGUAACCUACCUCCGAGCGGGGGACAACAUUUGGAAACAGAUGCUAAUACCGCAUAAGACCACGAAGCCGCAUGGCUUUGAGGCCAAAGCAUUUAUGCACUUGGAGAUGGACUCGCGUCUGAUUAGCUAGAUGGUGAGGUAAUGGCCCACCAUGGCGACGAUCAGUAGCCGGACUGAGAGGUUGAACGGCCACAUUGGGACUGAGACACGGCCCAGACUCCUACGGGAGGCAGCAGUGGGGAAUAUUGCACAAUGGGCGAAAGCCUGAUGCAGCGACGCCGCGUGAGGGAAGAAGGUUUUCGGAUUGUAAACCUCUGUCUUCGGGGACGAAACAAAUGACGGUACCCGAGGAGGAAGCCACGGCUAACUACGUGCCAGCAGCCGCGGUAAAACGUAGGUGGCAAGCGUUGUCCGGAAUUACUGGGUGUAAAGGGAGCGCAGGCGGGAUGGCAAGUUGAAUGUGAAAACUAUGGGCUCAACCCAUAGACUGCGUUCAAAACUGCUGUUCUUGAGUGAUGGAGAGGCAGGCGGAAUUCCCGGUGUAGCGGUGGAAUGCGUAGAUAUCGGGAGGAACACCAGUGGCGAAGGCGGCCUGCUGGACAUUAACUGACGCUGAGGCUCGAAAGUGUGGGGAGCAAACAGGAUUAGAUACCCUGGUAGUCCACACUGUAAACGAUGAUUACUAGGUGUGGGGGGAUAGACCCCCUCCGUGCCGCAGCUAACGCAAUAAGUAAUCCACCUGGGGAGUACGGUCGCAAGACUGAAACUCAAAGGAAUUGACGGGGGCCCGCACAGCAGUGAGUAUGUGGUUUAUUCGACGCAACGCGAAGAACCUUACCAGGU
Molecule: ribosomal RNA, 946 nt
Filed under: uncultured bacterium
Lineage: Bacteria
Description: bacterial SSU rRNA
Rfam family: Bacterial small subunit ribosomal RNA
Source: RNAcentral